UGGAUUUGUGGUUGGGUUCGUCGGUCCGGCACAUUGUGCGGGUACUUGAUGGACUCGUCCAUCCUUGGGUGGAAUCUGUGUGGCAUUAAGUUGUCGUGCAGGGGAUGCCCAUCGUUUACUGUGAAAAAAUUAGAGUGUUCAAAGCAGGCUUAUGCCGUUGAAUAUAUUAGCAUGGAAUAAUGAGAUAGGACCUUGGUACUAUUUUGUUGGUUUGCGCACCGAGGUAAUGAUUAAUAGGGACAGUUGGGGGUAUUCGUAUUCCAUUGUCAGAGGUGAAAUUCUUGGAUUUUUGGAAGACGAACUACUGCGAAAGCAUUUACCAAGGAUGUUUUCAUUAAUCAAGAACGAAAGUUAGGGGAUCGAAGAUGAUUAGAUACCAUCGUAGUCUUAACCAUAAACUAUGCCGACAAGGGAUUGGCGGUCGUUGUAUUGACUCCGUCAGCACCUUAUGAGAAAUCACAAGUCUUUGGGUUCCGGGGGG
This 481-nucleotide ribosomal RNA is filed under the name Fragilaria sp. RCC5533. Its description in RNAcentral is "SSU rRNA". It matches the Rfam family "Eukaryotic small subunit ribosomal RNA", at positions 635 to 1121 of the family's 1831-position model. The record is from RNAcentral. Lineage: Eukaryota; Bacillariophyta; Fragilariophyceae; Fragilariales; Fragilariaceae.